RNAcentral lists this ribosomal RNA (276 nucleotides) under uncultured bacterium. RNAcentral's name for it is "partial 16S ribosomal RNA". It matches the Rfam family "Bacterial small subunit ribosomal RNA", at positions 335 to 630 of the family's 1533-position model. The record is from RNAcentral.
UCUCUACGGGGGGCAGCAGUGGGGAAUAUUGCACAAUGGGGGAAACCCUGAUGCAGCGACGCCGCGUGAGUGAAGAAGUAUUUCGGUAUGUAAAGCUCUAUCAGCAGGGAAGAAAAUGACGGUACCUGACUAAGAAGCCCCGGCUAACUACGUGCCAGCAGCCGCGGUAAUACGUAGGGGGCAAGCGUUAUCCGGAUUUAUUGGGUUUAAAGGGUGCGUAGGCGGGCUGUUAAGUCAGCGGUCAAAUGUCGGGGCUCAACCCCGGCCUGCCGCUGC